GACGAACGCUGGCGGCGUGCCUAAUACAUGCAAGUCGAACGCUUCUUUCCUCCCGAGUGCUUGCACUCAAUUGGAAAGAGGAGUGGCGGACGGGUGAGUAACACGUGGGUAACCUACCCAUCAGAGGGGGAUAACACUUGGAAACAGGUGCUAAUACCGCAUAACAGUUUAUGCCGCAUGGCAUAAGAGUGAAAGGCGCUUUCGGGUGUCGCUGAUGGAUGGACCCGCGGUGCAUUAGCUAGUUGGUGAGGUAACGGCUCACCAAGGCCACGAUGCAUAGCCGACCUGAGAGGGUGAUCGGCCACACUGGGACUGAGACACGGCCCAGACUCCUACGGGAGGCAGCAGUAGGGAAUCUUCGGCAAUGGACGAAAGUCUGACCGAGCAACGCCGCGUGAGUGAAGAAGGUUUUCGGAUCGUAAAACUCUGUUGUUAGAGAAGAACAAGGACGUUAGCAACUGAACGUCCCCUGACGGUAUCUAACCAGAAAGCCACGGCUAACUACGUG
This 508-nucleotide ribosomal RNA is filed under the name uncultured bacterium. Its description in RNAcentral is "partial 16S ribosomal RNA". It matches the Rfam family "Bacterial small subunit ribosomal RNA", at positions 28 to 507 of the family's 1533-position model. The record is from RNAcentral.